RNAcentral lists this ribosomal RNA (489 nucleotides) under uncultured bacterium. Its description in RNAcentral is "bacterial SSU rRNA". It matches the Rfam family "Bacterial small subunit ribosomal RNA", at positions 341 to 847 of the family's 1533-position model. The record is from RNAcentral.
ACGGGAGGCAGCAGUGGGGAAUAUUGCACAAUGGGGGAAACCCUGAUGCAGCGACGCCGCGUGAAGGAAGAAGUAUCUCGGUAUGUAAACUUCUAUCAGCAGGGAAGAAAAUGACGGUACCUGACUAAGAAGCCCCGGCUAACUACGUGCCAGCAGCCGCGGUAAUACGUAGGGGGCAAGCGUUAUCCGGAUUUACUGGGUGUAAAGGGAGCGUAGACGGAUGGACAAGUCUGAUGUGAAAGGCUGGGGCUCAACCCCGGGACUGCAUUGGAAACUGCCCGUCUUGAGUGCCGGAGAGGUAAGCGGAAUUCCUAGUGUAGCGGUGAAAUGCGUAGAUAUUAGGAGGAACACCAGUGGCGAAGGCGGCUUACUGGACGGUAACUGACGUUGAGGCUCGAAAGCGUGGGGAGCAAACAGGAUUAGAUACCCUGGUAGUCCACGCGGUAAACGAUGAAUGCUAGGUGUCGGGUGACAAAGUCAUUCGGUGCC